This 727-nucleotide long non-coding RNA is filed under the name Monodelphis domestica (gray short-tailed opossum). RNAcentral's name for it is "lncRNA (ENSMODG00000035129.2)". The record is from RNAcentral. Lineage: Eukaryota; Metazoa; Chordata; Mammalia; Didelphimorphia; Didelphidae.
UCCAUCAGUACAUAUAUAUUCUGGAGAAGUACUGUCAGUGGGCAGUUAUCUCAAUCUAGGCUUGAGUUGAAGGAGGAAAGUGAGGGUAAAAUCACAGAAGAAUGUUUUAGGUACACUCUGACAUAGCCUAGGGCCGCAACAAAAAGGCACAAUUCCACUAUUUACAAUAAUGGAAUAGAAGACAUUGGACUUCAUAAGAAUACCAUGAGAGAGUCUGUUUUUUGUAACCGAGAGAACGUAAUCCUGAAAAGGAAGGAAUCAGCAGCCAGUUACUGUGCCUGAGGAAGUUCAAGUGCCUCCCAGACUUGUUGUCUUCAUUGUUCACAAACACAUAUCACUGGCAAGUCAGAAAUGGGGAUUACUUCCUGAAGUUGUGAAGCAGUCUCAUCUGCCAGAGAUUCUUACAAGGAAUGACUUCUCUUGAGAACUCCUGAAUGAGGAAAAUAAAGUCCUUACAACAUCAUUUUAUGGCUGAAGAAACCCUAAGUGAAGGACUAGCUUUAAUACCGACCUGACUCACAGUAAUGAUCUCUGCAGGUUCCAUCAACAUACAUUUGUGGAAUAUUCAGCGCAUCUACUGUGAGGAAGGCAAUUUUCUGGUAUCCAUGUACACCAUUAAAAGAUGACACUUCAUGGGUUAGAAACAGCCUGACUUCUGACUCCUGAUUCAGGAAAGUGAGAAAAAAUUGAGGUAAUUUCUACCACUUCCUUCUCACUGAAACCAAGC